UAGUCCACGCCGUAAACGAUCAUCACUCGUUAUUAGCGAUACACAGUUAGUAACCAAGCGAAAGCAUUAAGUGAUGCACCUGGGGAGUACGUCGGCAACGAUGAAACUCAAAGGAAUUGACGGGGGCCCGCACAAGCGGUGGAGUAUGUGGUUUAAUUCGAAGCAACGCGCAGAACCUUACCUACCCUUAACAUUCCAGGACAACCUCAGAGAUGGGGCUUUCCCUUCGGGGACCUGGGGAUAGGUGCUGCAUGGCUGUCGUCAGCUCGUGUCGUAGGAUGUUUGGUUAAGUCCAAUAACGAGCGCAACCCUUAUCUUCUAGUUACCAUCAUUAAGUUGGGGACUCUAGAGAGACUGCCGGUGUUAAACCGGAGGAAGGCGGGGAUGACGUCAAGUCCUCAUGGCCCUUACGGGUAGGGCUACACACGUACUACAAUGGCAGAAACAAACAGUUGCGAGACCGCGAGGUGGAGCUAAUCUGUAAACACUGUCUCAGUCCGGAUUGGAGUCUGCAACUCGACUCC
This 524-nucleotide ribosomal RNA is filed under the name uncultured bacterium. Its description in RNAcentral is "bacterial SSU rRNA". It matches the Rfam family "Bacterial small subunit ribosomal RNA", at positions 791 to 1319 of the family's 1533-position model. The record is from RNAcentral.